UACGUAGGGGGCGAGCGUUAUCCGGAUUUAUUGGGCGUAAAGCGCGCGCAGGCGGUCAGGUAAGUCGGAUGUGAAAGGCUACGGCUCAACCGUAGAGCGGCAUCCGAAACUGUUUGACUUGAGUGCAGGAGAGGAGAGUGGAAUUCCCGGUGUAGCGGUGGAAUGCGUAGAGAUCGGGAGGAACACCAGUGGCGAAGGCGACUCUCUGGACUGUAACUGACGCUGAGGCGCGAAAGCGUGGGGAGCAAAC
RNAcentral lists this ribosomal RNA (250 nucleotides) under uncultured bacterium. RNAcentral's name for it is "partial 16S ribosomal RNA". It matches the Rfam family "Bacterial small subunit ribosomal RNA", at positions 524 to 773 of the family's 1533-position model. The record is from RNAcentral.